This 406-nucleotide ribosomal RNA is filed under the name uncultured bacterium. Its description in RNAcentral is "partial 16S ribosomal RNA". It matches the Rfam family "Bacterial small subunit ribosomal RNA", at positions 30 to 526 of the family's 1533-position model. The record is from RNAcentral.
AUUGAACGCUGGCGGCAGGCCUAACACAUGCAAGUCGAACGAGUGGCGGACGGGUGAGUAAUGUCUGGGAAACUGCCCGAUGGAGGGGGAUAACUACUGGAAACGGUAGCUAAUCCCGCCUACCAUCGGAUGUGCACAGAUGGGAUUAGCUAGUAGGUGGGGUAAAGGCUCACCUAGGCGACGAUCCCUAGCUGGUCUGAGAGGAUGACCAUCAACACUGGAAAUGAGAAAUGGUCAAGCCUCCUAAGGGAGGAAGCAGUGGGGAAUAUUGAACAAUUGGAGCAAGCCUGAUGCAGCCAGGCCGCGUGUAUGAAGAAGGCCUUCGGGUUGUAAAGUACUUUCAGCGGGGAGGAGUUACCCGCAGAAGAAGCACCGGCUAAAUCCGUGCCAGCAGCCGCGGUAAUAC